AUUGAACGCUGGCGGCAUGCUUUACACAUGCAAGUCGAACGGUAACAGGCCUUCGGGUGCUGACGAGUGGCGAACGGGUGAGUAAUGCAUCGGAACGUACCCAGAGGUGGGGGAUAACGCAGCGAAAGCUGUGCUAAUACCGCAUGUGAUCUGAGGAUUAAAGCGGGGGACCGAGCAGCAAUGUUUGGCCUCGCGCCUUUGGAGCGGCCGAUGUCGGAUUAGCUAGUUGGUGGGGUAAAGGCCUACCAAGGCGAGGAUCCGUAGCUGGUCUGAGAGGACGACCAGCCACACUGGGACUGAGCCACGGCCCAGACUCCUCCGGGAGGCAGCAGUGGGGAAUUUUGGACAAUGGGCGCAAGCCUGAUCCAGCAAUGCCGCGUGCGGGAAGAAGGCCUUCGGGUUGUAAACCGCUUUUGGCAGGAACGAAACGGUGUCCGCUAAUACCGGGCGCUAAUGACGGUACCUGCAGAAUAAGCACCGGCUAACUACGUG
RNAcentral lists this ribosomal RNA (492 nucleotides) under uncultured bacterium. RNAcentral describes it as "partial 16S ribosomal RNA". It matches the Rfam family "Bacterial small subunit ribosomal RNA", at positions 30 to 507 of the family's 1533-position model. The record is from RNAcentral.